GGGGGCGACCUGGUUUCGACGUGGGUUGCAAAACCAGAGGUGCAUGCCGAGAAUGAGAACUCUCGUAAAUCAGACUCAAAUAAAUAUAAAUGCAAACGAAGCAAACUAUGAUGCAGUUAACGUUGACCAAGCUAUUGCAGCCUAAUCAAUUGUAACUCAUCAACGUGUACUGGCCUUAACCCCAGUGCCCCGUUCGACCGGGCCCGCUUAUCGGCAUCGAAUCAACGGUCAUAGGAGAUAAGCUAGCAUCAAAAUCCAUCCCGGGUUUAAAUGCGAAAUUUAGGGAAUCGCUGUGUACUAUCCUGCCCGUCGGAGAGCCCACAGUUAAAUCAAAAGACAAGGCUACGCAUGUAGACCCAAAGGCAGAGGAUUUACGGACGCGGGUUCGAUUCCCGCCGCCUCCACCA
RNAcentral lists this transfer-messenger RNA (407 nucleotides) under Legionellaceae. RNAcentral describes it as "Legionella sp004297865 Standard tmRNA". It matches the Rfam family "transfer-messenger RNA". From Rfam's summary of the family: Bacterial tmRNA, also known as 10Sa RNA or SsrA, is named for its dual tRNA and mRNA-like properties. Lineage: Bacteria; Pseudomonadati; Pseudomonadota; Gammaproteobacteria; Legionellales. The record is from RNAcentral. RNAcentral also lists the same sequence under 1 other name.